Molecule: transfer RNA, 87 nt
Filed under: Acidobacteriota bacterium
Lineage: Bacteria; Pseudomonadati; Acidobacteriota
Also listed under: 1 other name
Description: Acidobacteria bacterium (freshwater metagenome) tRNA-Leu
Rfam family: tRNA
About the family: Transfer RNA (tRNA) molecules are approximately 80 nucleotides in length. Their secondary structure includes four short double-helical elements and three loops (D, anti-codon, and T loops). Further hydrogen bonds mediate the characteristic L-shaped molecular structure. tRNAs have two regions of fundamental functional importance: the anti-codon, which is responsible for specific mRNA codon recognition, and the 3' end, to which the tRNAs corresponding amino acid is attached (by aminoacyl-tRNA synthetases). tRNAs cope with the degeneracy of the genetic code in two manners: having more than one tRNA (with a specific anti-codon) for a particular amino acid; and 'wobble' base-pairing, i.e. permitting non-standard base-pairing at the 3rd anti-codon position.
Source: RNAcentral
GCGAGAGUGGCGGAACUGGCAGACGCGCCGGACUUAGAAUCCGGUGGCCGGAAGGCCUUGGGGGUUCGACUCCCCCCUUUCGCACCA